UGAGGAAUAUUGGUCAAUGGGCGCAAGCCUGAACCAGCCAUCCCGCGUGAAGGAAGAAGGCGCUAUGCGUUGUAAACUUCUUUUCCAGGGAAAUAAAAUUUCGUACGUGUACGGAACUGAAGGUACCCUGGGAAUAAGCAUCGGCUAACUCCGUGCCAGCAGCCGCGGUAAUACGGAGGAUGCAAGCGUUAUCCGGAUUUAUUGGGUUUAAAGGGUGCGCAGGCGGAAAAAUAAGUCAGUGGUGAAAUCCUGCAGCUUAACUGUAGAAUUGCCGUUGAUACUGUUAUUCUUGAGUGUGGUCAAGGUAGGCGGGAUGUGUAAUGUAGCGGUGAAAUGCUUAGAUAUUACACAGAACACCGAUUGCGAAGGCAGCUUACUGGGCCAUUACUGACGCUCAUGCACGAAAGCGUGGGGAUCGAACA
Molecule: ribosomal RNA, 422 nt
Filed under: uncultured prokaryote
Description: bacterial SSU rRNA
Rfam family: Bacterial small subunit ribosomal RNA
Source: RNAcentral